Molecule: long non-coding RNA, 793 nt
Organism: Sinocyclocheilus grahami
Lineage: Eukaryota; Metazoa; Chordata; Actinopteri; Cypriniformes; Cyprinidae
Exons: 3
Source: RefSeq, a predicted model, not a curated record
AUAGCAGAUGAACUAAAAAGUAAGGGUAUGAUACAUGAAGAAAAAUAUUCAGAGAUCAGAGCAGAACAAACCAGCCAGGGCAAAAUGAGAAUGCUGUUUGAAGCACUAAAUUCUGGAGGAGACAGAGUGAAGCAUGACUUUUAUUAUGCUCUGAGAGAUCAUGAACCACACCUCUUCAAAGACCUGGGUGGUGAGACAAUGGAUAACACCGAUGGCACCCAGAACAACCAGCGAUAGUUAAACUGAACACCUCCUGCAACCAAGACACGGAAACAGAUGCGACCUGAUGGAAAAAAAGAAAGAUGAGAUGCAGCUACCUGAAGAAGAAAGAAUGUUAAAAAUGCCGUUAAAGGAACAGUUCACACAAAUUCAAAUUGUCAUCAGUUAUUCUCCCUCAUGUCACUGAAAACCCAUAUAACACUUUUUAUCAGAAUGUGUAGGCUGUGUUCUACAUCAUAUAGGUAUUCAUUCAUUUUGUAGGUGAACAGUUUUUAGUUUUUUAUGCUAAAAUCACAAUAUUUUAUACAUUAUCAUCUACAUAUUUAACCAAGCCUUUAUAUUAUAAAAUAUUUUGAAAAAGACAGGAUUUUGCAGUAGCACCGUCUUGAUAAUUCUUCAAACAUUGUGUUUUUUUUCCAAACUACAAGUGUUUAAAUUUUGUUAUAUAUUCAACUUUUUGUACACCUACUUUUGAAUACAUUUAGAUUAAAAUCUAAAUCAGUGAAAAUCAUCCAUUGACUUACAUCAGUGAUUUCAUAAUACUUGUAUACGGAAUUGUCAUAUACGUGCUUUU